This 4914-nucleotide long non-coding RNA is filed under the name Salmo salar (Atlantic salmon). RNAcentral describes it as "lncRNA (ENSSSAG00000115574.1)". Lineage: Eukaryota; Metazoa; Chordata; Actinopteri; Salmoniformes; Salmonidae. The record is from RNAcentral.
AGCUCUGUAGAUUUUGCUGCGAAGAGAAAGAAUCAUUAGAUCAUUUGUUUUGGUAAUGUCCAUAUGUAGCUUGUUUUUGGUCGCAGGUCCAGGAAUGGCUGAAGAAUAGCAACAUUUAGCACUGCUGGGUGAUUUGAAAAGUCAAUCGAUCAAUAAUGUAAUAACGCUUUUAGCAAAAAAUGUUUUAUUUAAUUUACAAUCUCUAGAAACUAUCAGAGUAGAAAGGUUGAGAACUUUUGUGAAACAUCACAGAUUAAAAAUACAUGGCAAAUAGAUGUAAAAAUUGGAUGGUGUUCAGAGAUAGAUGGGAGGGGUUGAGGGGAGCUGAAGGAUGGGACUGGAUGGUGUUCAGAGAUAGAUGGGAGGGGUUGAGGGGAGCUGAAGGAUGGGACUGGAUGGUGUUCAGAGAUAGAUGGGAGGGGUUGAGGGGAGCUGAAGGAUGGGACUGGAUGGUGUUCAGAGAUAGAUGGGAGGGGUUGAGGGUAGCUGAAAGAUGGGACUGGAUGGUGUUCAGAGAUAGAUGGGAGGGGUUGAGGGGAGCUGAAGGAUGGGACUGGAUGGUGUUCAGAGAUAGAUGGGAGGGGUUGAGGGGAGCUGAAGGAUGGGACUGGAUGGUGUUCAGAGAUAGAUGGGAGGGGUUGAGGGUAGCUGAAAGAUGGGAUUAAAAACAAGAUAACAAAUGUAAAAUAUAUUGUGUCCGUAAAAUGUAUAUAGUAUAAGCUGGAAGUAGAAACCUAAGUGUUGAUGUUCAUUAGUUUACUCCAAUUAGGAGAGGGGUGGGAGGGUUAGUGGAAAAUAAUAAAGGAAAAUAUAUUUCAAAAAAGAGAAAUGUAACCACUCUGAAAUUCAGGAUGGAGCUAUGGAUGCCAGGUCUGACCAUCCAAGGUAUCUAAAUGAUAGUUUUAACCAUGUUUAGAGGCUAUAUAGUUUUUGUUUAUGAUUACAUUGUUUACAAACAAUGGAAUGAAACUAGCUUAUUUGGCUUCUGAUGGGGGACGGCACUUGAAUUAAUGAGGCAUUUAUAGGGGAGAGUGGGGUAAGUUGAGCCAAAGGGGUACGUUGAGCCACCCUUGUUUCUAGGAAACCACGCACAAAAUGUAUAAUUUGACCAAAUACUUAGGUAGAGGUCAUCAUUUCAUGGAUUCUGUUAGUAAGGAAGAAACCACAUGGAAAAAGUGGUAAGCAAGUUAGGUCCAAAAAACAGAUUUUCACCAAGUCAAAUGAAUGUAUUGUGUUAGAGGUUUCAUGAUGCUUCAAUCUAAACUUAAGUAUAUCAUUCUAGAAUGAAAGUGCAUCUUUGUUGCUGUGUGGGCUAAUAUAGUCAAAAUGGGGUAAGUUGAGCCAAUAUUUGAGCCAAUGGCAAGUUGAGCAAAUUGAAGUGUUUAACAAGGCCUGGUCUAUGUUAAAAUAGUUUGUCAGGUAUUAAGCCUAUUUUAAAAGAUGCUUAAAAUGAUUAACGGGCUCCCAAGUGGCGCAGCGGUCUAAGGCACUGCAUCUCAAUCCUUUGAGGCGUCACUACAGACACCCUGGUUCAGCGGUCUAAGGCACUGCAUCUCAGUGUUAGAGGCGUCACUACAGACACCCUGGUUCAGCGGUCUAAGGCACUGCAUCUCAGUGUUUGAGGCGUCACUACAGACACCCUGGUUCAGCGGUCUAAGACACUGCAUCUCAGUGUUAGAGGCAUCACUACAGACACCCUGGUUCAGCGGUCUAAGGCACUGCAUCUCAGUGUUAGAGGCGUCACUACAGACACCCUGGUUCAGCGGUCUAAGGCACUGCAUCUCAGUGUUAGAGGCGUCACUACAGACACCCUGGUUCAGCGGUCUGAGGCACUGCAUCUCAGUGUUUGAGGCGUCACUACAGACACCCUGGUUCAGCGGUCUGAGGCACUGCAUCUCAGUGUUUGAGGCGUCACUACAGACACCCUGGUUCAGCGGUCUGAGGCACUGCAUCUCAGUGUUUGAGGUGUCACUACAGACACCCUGGUUCAGCGGUCUAAGGCACUGCAUCUCAAUGCUUUGAGGCGUCACUACAGACACCCUGGUUCAGCGGUCUAAGGCACUGCAUCUCAGUGUUUGAGGCGUCACUACAGACACCCUGGUUCAGCGGUCUAAGGCACUGCAUCUCAGUGUUUGAGGCGUCACUACAGACACCCUGGUUCAGCGGUCUAAGGCACUGCAUCUCAGUGUUUGAGGCGUCACUACAGACACCCUGGUUCAGCGGUCUAAGGCACUGCAUCUCAGUGUUUGAGGCGUCACUACAGACACCCUGGUUCAGCGGUCUAAGGCACUGCAUCUCAAUGUUUGAGGUGUCACUACAGACACCCUGGUUCAGCGGUCUAAGGCACUGCAUCUCAAUGCUUUGAGGCGUCACUACAGAUACCCUGGUUUGAAUCCAGGCUGUAUCGCAACUGGCCGUGAUUGGGAGUCCCGUAAGGGCGGCGCACAAUUGGCCCAGCGUCGUCCGGGUUUGGCCGGUGUAGGCCGUCAUUGUAAAUAAGAAUUUGUUCUUAAUUAACUGACUUGCCUAGUUAAAUAAAAGUAAAAUUAACUAAAAACGAAAUACUUCUCUGCUAUCUUUAACAGCAAACAAUGAAGGAAAGCUAAUUACAUGGGGGCUAACAGGCAAAUAUUUCCUUUUUGUUGAAGGAGAAACAGAAAAAGAUUGACAGAAUUAGGAUUAUAGAUCAUACAGUAUCAUUCAAAGUGAAAAAUGCAGCAUGUCUUGAUUUGAUUGGACAUCUAUCUGUUCUAUGUACCGAGCUGUGACGCAAAACGGAAACCUAGCCACUUUCUCGUAUCUUAGCAACAGUAACUAGCUAUCUAGCUACACAAGGUUUUAGCCAGCUAGCUAACGUUAUAUCCUGACAACAUUGACGCUCAAUAUAUUUUUGUUCUCAGUCAUAUCUAAGCAAUAUUCAAAAUGGAAUUCAAGCCAGAUAGCCUUUAUUGAAAUGAUAUCUGUUUCGUAAGUUGACGUUGUAACGUUGACCAGGCUCCUCUGUUUGCAGUUUCGUAUUAGUAGAAGGCCUGGUCGUGGCUAGAUAUGUUCGAGUUGCGUUGGGAACAAUUGUAUCAUUUUAGCUAACCCUUUCCUAACCUGCUGCUUAAGUUCUCCUAAACUGUGCUACGAAAAGUCACUUCUGCUAGUAAAAACCUGCAAACCUUCCUUGGGAACAGUCUUGGUUUCCACUAAUGCAUGGGCUCACAUCUCAUCUGACCAGCCCAGCAAUAGCACAAGUUGGCUAGCUGGCUAGCUAACUGGUUUUACCUUGACAACAUUGACCCUCAACAUACUUCUUUUGUUCAAUUAUCUCAGCCACUCCCACAGCAACUCGCCCAAGCCUCCCCCAUUUCUCCUUCACCCAAAUCCAGAUAGCUGAUGUUCUGAAAGAGCUGCAAAAUCUGGACCCCUACAAAUCAGCCGGGCUAGACAAUCUGGACCCUCUCUUUCUAAAAUUAUCUGACGAAAUUGUUGCAACCCCUAUUACAAGCCUGUUCAACCUCUCUUUCGUAACGUCUGAGAUUCCCAAAGAUUGGAAAGCUGCCGCGGUCAUCCCCCUCUUCAAAGGGGGAGACACUCUAGACCCAAACUGCUACAGACCUAUAUCUAUCCUACCCUGCCUUUCUAAGGUCUUCGAAAGCCAAGUUAACAGAUUACCGACCAUUUCGAAUCUCACCAUACCUUCUCCGCCAUGCAAUCUGGUUUCAGAGCUGGUCAUGGGUGCACCUCAGCCACGCUCAAGGUCCUAAACAAUAUCAUAACUGCCAUCGAUAAGAGACAUUACUGUGCAGCCGUAUUCAUCGACCUGGCCAAGGCUUUCAACUCUGUCAAUCACCACAUCCUUAUUGGCAGACUCAACAGCUGUCACAACUUCCGCCGAAGUUGGUCCCUCUCCUUGUUCGGGCGGCGUCCGGCGGUCGACGUCACCGGUUUUCUAGUUGCCACCAAUCCACGUUUUCAUUUUCCAUUUGUUUUGUCUUCAUUGUACACACCUGGUUUCCAUUUCGUAAUUAUUGUUCCCUAUUUAACCCUCUGGUUUCCCCCUUGGUUUUGUGCGUGUUUGUUCUGUGUUAAGCUGUCGCUUAUAUUUUGUGAGCUGGAUUAUUUUCCCUGUGUGGAAUAUUUAGUUGUUUUGUUGAGUAAAGUCCUUUAUUACUCAUUCUCUGUGUCCUGCGCCUGACUCCGUCCCACCUGCUGCACAUUGACUCUUAACAACAGCCUUGGUUUCUCAAAUUAUUGCCUCGCCUGGUUCACCAACUACUUCUCUAAUAGAGUUCAAUGUGUCAAAUCGGAGGGCCUGUUGUCCGGACCUUUGGCAGUCUCUAUGGGUGUGCCACAGGGUUCAAUUCUCGGGCCGAUUCUCUUCUCUGUAUCAACGAUGUCGCUGUUGCUGCUGGUGAUUCUCUGAUCCACCUCUACGCAGGCGACACCAUUCUGUAUACUUCUGGCCCUUCUUUGGACACUGUGUUAACUUUAUUUAUUUAAUUUAUUUCACCUUCAUUUAACCAGGUAGGCUAGUUGAGAACAAGUUGUCAUUUGCAUCUGCAACCUGUCCAAGAUAAAGCAAAGCAGUUCGACACUUACAACAACACAGAGUUACACAUGAAAUAAACAAACAUACAAUCAAUAAUACAGUAGGAAAAUAUAUAUAUACAGCAUGUGCAAAUGAGGUAGUAUAAGAGAGGUAGGCAAUAAAUAGGCCAUGGUGGCAAAGUAAUUACAAUAUAGAUAUUAAACACUGGAAUGGUAGGAUGUGCAGAGGAUGAAUGUGCAAGUUGAGAUACUGGGGUGCAAAGGAGCAAGAUAAAUAAAUAAAUACAGUAUGGGGAUGAGGUAGAUUGGAUGGGCUAUUUACAGAUGAGCUAUGUACAAGUGCAGUGAUCUGUGAGCUGCUCUGACAGCUGGUGCUUA